This 254-nucleotide ribosomal RNA is filed under the name uncultured bacterium. RNAcentral's name for it is "partial 16S ribosomal RNA". It matches the Rfam family "Bacterial small subunit ribosomal RNA", at positions 524 to 776 of the family's 1533-position model. The record is from RNAcentral.
UACAGAGGUCUCAACCGUUGUUCGGAUUCAUUGGGCGUAAAGGGUGCGUAGGCGGUCGCGCCAAGUCGGAUGUGAAAUCUCAGGGCUCAACCCUGAAACUGCAUUCGAUACUGCGUGGCUAGAGUGCUGGAGAGGAGACUGGAAUUUACGGUGUAGCAGUGAAAUGCGUAGAUAUCGUAAGGAAGACCAGUGGCGAAGGCGAGUCUCUGGACAGCAACUGACGCUGAGGCACGAAGGCCAGGGGAGCAAACGGG